Myotis brandtii (Brandt's bat) is the source of this 4091-nucleotide long non-coding RNA. RefSeq lists it as uncharacterized. The transcript has 2 exons. Lineage: Eukaryota; Metazoa; Chordata; Mammalia; Chiroptera; Vespertilionidae. The record is from RefSeq and is a predicted model, not a curated record.
GAAGACACUUUAAAAAAUAACACAGCACAACUCGUUUUACUACAUUACCUGGUUUCUGGGUCACCAAUAACCUCAAAGUCUUAACUUCCUUUUAACACCUUCCCCAGCAUGGAUGUCUGUGCACAGCCAGGGACUAGGUUUUAUCGUGGAUACAUAGCAUCUGUUUUAAUCUGUCCAGUCAGCCACUGCAUUUCAUGAAAGAAUUCUGUAAUUUCUACCCUUCUGCCUUGAAAAAAACCAGGUCCACCUCCUAAAUAAUUAAUUUCAAGUCUGUAUCCAGUGCCAAUACUUGUUGCAUCCAUUUGAGAGUUUGAUUAAUUGCCCUGGAACUUGGGCAAACUAAACUCCAUGUGGAGAGAAUGCGUCUGCCUUCAGUUUAGUUCUGAAAGCUACACAUUAUUGAUGGAUCUUACUCUAUUUACAUACAAAUCGGUGCAAAUAUGCCCAUCUCUUCAAAUGCGUUUUGUAUAAAUAUAUAAAAGUGUCAUUUUUGAUUUAGCUUGAGCGGUUGAUCAUUUAUUACAAAAAUAAACGAAUAAAUACAACAAUAUAUUGUUGCUUCCAACAAGAUAAAUACUUUUACAAAUAUAUAAUUUUAAAACAAAUUUAAUUGUUAAAAUUAUUUAAAAUAUUACACUUAUCGAUAAAACUAUCAAUAGUAUAUACUGCAUUUAAUAUUAGAACCAAUUAUUCUCUGAAUUUUGAAACCAUUCAUACAAAACAUUAUGAGCAUGGUAGUGAGCAAACACUGGAGGCUACAAGGAAGCAGAGGGACUCUCUAAGAUCAAGAAUGAACAGUUCUGUUUGGGAACAAAGAAGCAGUCCUUGGCUAAGGACUAAAAAAAAGGGCAGAGAAACAACAGCAAAACGACUAUUUUACAUACACCUUGAAUGACUUAUCGCCCAGACUUGCAGGGGAAGAUGGUUGGGUGAAUGAGAUGGCUGAGGCUUGGACCACAGGUCGGGAGCCACAGGAGUCUGCAGACUACCAAUGGGCCUAGUUUGGGAUUAGCCAGAUUGAUGGAACAGAACUUUGUCACUUUCCUUUGGGCUGGGAGGGGAGGAGGGCUGGAUUGAAAUGGGGGAAACAAAUGGCUACUUUACAAAGCACAAGACACUUGCUCUGCAAAGAAACACAAUGACCAAAUUCAUUAAAAAGAUCUGGUGAUAUAUAACAAUAUUUUCAUUAUUUACGUGUAUAACAAUAUAAGCCUAACACAAACCUCUCAGUUAUAGCUGCUCUCUUUUGUUUUUCAACCAUGAAUUUCAUUUUGUAGAUACAUUCAAAGGGUUGAUUUUCAAAAUAUGGAGUGCCAGCAUUAGCUCACUUUAAAAAUGCAAAAUAAUGAAAUAAAAUGGUCUUGCUUUUCCAGCUUCUCCAAUUAAAAGUUACUCUGUUACCCCUAAAUCAGGACUUCUUCCAAAGUAAUCAGCAAAGGUUGCUCUUUAAUGGGAAACAGUGUGAAAUCGAAUGGUAGUUCUUUUGUUGUCAGUCAAAUCAAGUAAGCAAAUAGCUCCUAAAAUUUUAUACAGACCCACUGUCCAAUCGACCACUGCCAUUCCUGGUGGGGAAACAGGACUUCAUCUCACGUGCCAGUGGUACCCAUCAUUGAAAACAGCCACACCCAAUCCUCAGCUUUCCAAUAAGGCCUUCUUGGCUUGCCCCUGUAGACCCUCAAGAACUGAUGAAGUUUAUAUCCACUCAGGUUUUAAAUUUGCUGGGCAGGGAGAUUACAAUAGCAAGAGAAAGAAGGAAACAAGAAAGCCUAGAAAAGUAAAUCGUGGUUUCUUAUUUUCAUUUUUUCUUCUUUCUGUUUAAUAAAUAUGGCCUUUUUCAGAUUUCACAAAUCAAAAUGAUUGUGAUUUUUAGUACUAUCUGGUGUUUAAAAUAAUGCAACCCAACACACGGCCAUCUGGCUAGGCUUGAUUUAUGAAAGUGACACAGGGUCUGUCUGGAAGAAAUAACUGCUCCUUGUUGCUCGCACAGUUUUCCGGGUUUUUUAACCCCUACAUUGAUAUCUUAGGGGGAGGAAGUGAGGAUGAGAGAAGGCAAAAAGUGAGUGACAGCUAAAUGGGAUUAGGGGGAAAUUACCCUAUAAAAUCACUGCUUUAUCACCCCAAAUACUUUUAAAAAGUCCAGUAUGAAAGGACUCAACUAAGCAGAGUCUUUAGUACUCACAACCUGAGGCAUCACACUUUCGCUUUCCCACAUGGUAAAUAUUGAUACAUUGAUGUGAUAAAUGUGGCCGCUCUGCAGGAUAUAUCUAAGGAGUGAUCCAAAAGCUAAAACCCCAGGGUCAGUGAAGGUACAGAAUCACACUGGAGAAACACCAAAACACAGACAUGUAGACUUUUAGGUCUGAGCUGGUAAUCACACCGAGGGUAAAGCAGUGUGGACCCCAGUCAGGAUUUUGGAACUCCAUUCUUUCAUUACAGAAACAAACAAACAAAACAAAACAAACCCUAAACCAGCUUAAUAAUUUAAACUUAAUUACAUAAUAUCAAUGGAAUAGUUGUAAGCUAUUCUUCCCAACUAUUAGUCUUCAGAAAAAGAAGAAAGAAACAUAGCAAUGUGGUGGGGGAGGAGAGGAAAAAGAGGCUAAACUUUGGAAAAGGGCUCUGUAUUAACCAUUAAUAACCAGCUGGCACUUUUUUUACUGGUGAUGUAAUCCACUCUUUUGAUAAAGAUGAUGAAGAACACAGGUAUCUCCAAGAAAAGUAGUAAAUACUCCCCUAAAAACAUCCAUUAAAAUUACAGGAAAGGGAAAGACUGUGAAAUUGACAGCUUACCAGGGAGUGCCGAGUAGUUAGAGCACUAGCAAUUUCUUUCAAGCCUGUCCUUUACUCUAGAUUCCCAAACACACCUUAGCGCCCCAGCGCUACUGGGCUUCCUCAGCGCUAGCACUCAAGGAUAUGCAUUAGUAAAAAAAUAUUUUCCAACUAUUUCUUCCCACACAGUGUUUAUGCAUCAGACACAGACUAUUUCAUUCUAACAAAUUUAUUUUCUCGAUCAGCUCUUACGGAAUCACUACUCAAAUUAAAUUACAAUCAAAUGAUCACAUCAAAAGAUACCCUUAUUACCUAACAACUGUCCAUAUUUUCAUUUCAUUUUGAUUUGUGCUCGUCUGAAAAAAACACGUAAUACAAGAUCUGGGGAAAAAUAAAUUACCAUUUUGCAGCAGUUCAUAAGUAUUCUGAAUAAAAUAUUAAAAGAAGUCAUUUAAUGAAAAUAUAAAGCAAAUAUUUUUAGAUCAGCAACGGAUCUAACAAUCUAUAUUGCCGUCUUUUGAAAAGUCUGUUUAUUAAAACCUACCAAAAACACUGCUUGGAAAUGGCAGUAUUAUAAUCACAGCCGCAGCACCCAUUCGAUCAAAGUUGGCAACGGGUUGAGGAGCGAAGUCCAAGAAGUGCAGCGGCUGGUGCUCAGUCUUUCUAAAUCCCUUUAUGAGUCAGUCCAGAAAUAAAAAAUAAAAAAUAUUAAUAAAAAAAUUAUUAGCGGUGGAAUCCUUAGGCAUCCUCCAUCCCAGAGGCAGCCCUGGCAGCCGGGCUGCGGCGGGCCUCCCUCCAUGCCCAGACUGCGGCCCGCGCCGGCCCUGGGGGCCUCUCCCACUCCGCAACGGAUGAGCGGACGUCCCCUUCGCCCCGGCCCAUCCCUCUGCUCCUUCGUGAUGUUUUUAUUUCCAAGGUUAUUUGAAGGAAACGUGUUCUUUUGGCUUUGCUCUUCAGCUUGUUAAUUUCAGAAGCUGUGGAUAUUAUUUUUUGCUGGAGACUGUUCUUUUUUUCUCCUUCCCGUUUCAUAGUCAGUUUGUCCCCAAAUGACUUCAUAUGGCCAAGAAGAGCUGGUUCCCAGCAGAGGCGUCCCUGAUUCAGCCCGGUGCCUCUGCUGCUUUCAGAGGCUCCCAGGAACCAAGUCCCGGUCGGUCGGUCGGUCACUUUAGGCAGCCCUUUAGAGGGGGGGAAGGGGGCUUUUUUUUUAAGGGGAGAAGGCGAGGCAGGUGCUAGGUGCUGUCCACCAUCGCCCUGGGGGCUUCUCAGGGUGGGCAAAACCUGGCGAGUGCAGUUUUGGUGCGCUAGGCCGCUUCACCCUUUUU